GAUCAUGGCUCAGGAUGAACGCUAGCUACAGGCUUAACACAUGCAAGUCGAGGGGCGGCAUAUUGGUUGCUUGCAACCGAUGAUGGCGACCGGCGCACGGGUGAGUAACGCGUAUCCAACCUACCCUUGUCCAUCGGAUAACCCGUCGAAAGGCGGCCUAACACGAUAUGCGGUUCACAGCAGGCAUCUAACGUGAACGAAAUGUGAAGGAGAAGGAUGGGGAUGCGU
RNAcentral lists this ribosomal RNA (228 nucleotides) under uncultured bacterium. RNAcentral describes it as "partial 16S ribosomal RNA". It matches the Rfam family "Bacterial small subunit ribosomal RNA", at positions 15 to 236 of the family's 1533-position model. The record is from RNAcentral.